UCUUAGCUUUUGAUAUAUAUAUAUAUAUAUAUAUAUGCAUGGCCUUUUAUAUGCACAUCAUUAUGGGAUGGUAAGGCUUUUGGGAGUGGAAGAUGUACGUGCCCAGCGGCAAGCUCUCCCUCUUUACCGACCUCCUUUGUGACCCUGUUUUCCGUGUUCGCACUCGACUCAUGCUUCCCUCAUGCUGGUGGUUUAGAUGGGCGAACAGAAAGAGAUAGUUGGCACGAUUAAAGAUAGCAUCAAGAUUGCUACUUGCAGC
This is a long non-coding RNA of Carya illinoinensis, 259 nucleotides long. RefSeq lists it as uncharacterized. NCBI's taxonomy places the organism in Eukaryota, Viridiplantae, Streptophyta, Magnoliopsida, Fagales, Juglandaceae. The transcript has 2 exons. The record is from RefSeq and is a predicted model, not a curated record.